This 494-nucleotide ribosomal RNA is filed under the name uncultured bacterium. RNAcentral's name for it is "partial 16S ribosomal RNA". It matches the Rfam family "Bacterial small subunit ribosomal RNA", at positions 28 to 507 of the family's 1533-position model. The record is from RNAcentral.
GACGAACGCUGGCGGCGUGCUUUAGGCAUGCAAGUCGAACGCGAAAGCCCCUUCGGGGGUGAGUAGAGUGGCGAACGGGUGAGUAACACGUGGGUAACCUGCCCCUCGCAGGGGGAUAACCGGGGGAAACCCCGGCUAAUACCCCGUACGCUUGCUGGGGCGCAUGCUCCGGCAAGGAAAGGUAGCUUCGGCCAUCCGGCGAGGGAGGGGCCCGCGGCCCAUUAGCUAGUUGGUGGGGUAACGGCCCACCAAGGCGACGAUGGGUAGCUGGCCUGAGAGGGUGGUCAGCCACACUGGGACUGAGACACGGCCCAGACUCCUACGGGAGGCAGCAGCCAGGAAUCUUGCGAAAUGGGCGAAAGCCUGACGCAGCAACGCCGCGUGGGCGAUGAAGGCCUGCGGGUCGUAAAGCCCUGUUGUCGGGGACGAAGGGCGAAGGGUUAAGAGCCCCUAGCCUGACGGUACCCGACGAGGAAGCCCCGGCUAACUACGUG